This 267-nucleotide long non-coding RNA is filed under the name Ananas comosus (pineapple). RNAcentral's name for it is "long non-coding RNA (ACOM_LNC017936)". Lineage: Eukaryota; Viridiplantae; Streptophyta; Magnoliopsida; Poales; Bromeliaceae. The record is from RNAcentral.
UAUUUCUACCUCUGUACCGGUACACAUCAAUAUUGUACCGGUCAUAGUUACUAAAUUCGCGAAUAAUACGCGAAUUAUUCACGAAUUUUUUAAUAGCCAAAUUAAACGGCGGCAAAUGUAUUUUUCUCAAAAGUGCAAAAAAAAACGCAUUUUUUUUCUCCAAAAAUAAUUAUCCGCGAAUUAUUCGCGAUUCACGAAUAAUUCGCCCAAAAAACCGGUCCGCUCGUUGUCAUCGUCGUCCGCCGCCGCCGCCCAGGCUAGCGCCGG